AGCAGUCGCCGCGGGAAUACGAAGGGUGCAAGCGUUAAUCGGAAUUACUGGGCGUAAAGCGUGCGUAGGCGGUUUGUUAAGUCUGCUGUGAAAUCCCCGGGCUCAACCUGGGAAUGGCAGUGGAUACUGGCAAGCUAGAGUGUGUCAGAGGAUGGUGGAAUUCCCGGUGUAGCGGUGAAAUGCGUAGAGAUCGGGAGGAACAUCAGUGGCGAAGGCGGCCAUCUGGGACAACACUGACGCUGAGGCACGAAAGCGUGGGGAGCAAACAGGAUUAGAUACCCCAGUAGUCCCUGUCUCUUAUAC
Molecule: ribosomal RNA, 303 nt
Filed under: uncultured bacterium
Lineage: Bacteria
Description: partial 16S ribosomal RNA
Rfam family: Bacterial small subunit ribosomal RNA
Source: RNAcentral